GGUCCUAUAGCUCAGUUGGUUAGAGCAACUGACUCAUAAUCAGUAGGUCCCUGGUUCAAGCCCAGGUGGGACCACCA
RNAcentral lists this transfer RNA (77 nucleotides) under Bacteroidota bacterium. Its description in RNAcentral is "Bacteroidetes bacterium (freshwater metagenome) tRNA-Ile". It matches the Rfam family "tRNA". From Rfam's summary of the family: Transfer RNA (tRNA) molecules are approximately 80 nucleotides in length. Their secondary structure includes four short double-helical elements and three loops (D, anti-codon, and T loops). Lineage: Bacteria; Pseudomonadati; Bacteroidota. The record is from RNAcentral.